CCCCUUCUCAAAACGCAGUCCUGCGCCUAUAUCUUGCUCGUCCCGCAAGGGACUAUGGACAUAAACGUGCUCAUAAUAAGCGGAUCGGACCCGGGGGCGGUACCCGGCGGCUCCACCAAACACUCUCGUUGGGGGUUCUUGGGGCCGAAACAGGAUCGACGAACGUGUAAAAGAGUGGCUUUGUCCCGGUGAGAUACCACCGUUAUCGGUUCACAAUGCAUAAUUGCCAACGACAAUCGUGCUCCGAUCGCUCUGGCUGCCUAAGCAGUCCGAAAGAUCGAAAUCUAAGCCCUUGGGCCUAGCAGCUUAAGGCGGGGUUCGCAGGCACCUGGCAACAGAAGCCUGCAUU
Molecule: transfer-messenger RNA, 349 nt
Filed under: Maritimibacter sp.
Lineage: Bacteria; Pseudomonadati; Pseudomonadota; Alphaproteobacteria; Rhodobacterales; Roseobacteraceae
Rfam family: Alphaproteobacteria transfer-messenger RNA
About the family: Bacterial tmRNA, also known as 10Sa RNA or SsrA, is named for its dual tRNA and mRNA-like properties. Its role is to liberate the mRNA from a stalled ribosome.
Source: RNAcentral